UUGAUUGGGGUUUGAUGGAAGGAUGGUUGCUAGACUUAGGGUUUCUAUUCAGGUAGUCAGGAUUAUAAUCCUUCCGAUGCCUAACAAGUUGUAUGCAUGAUAUUAUAGAGCUCAACACUUAUAAACAAACCAUUAGGCUUUCGCUUUCUAGGUUUGUCUAUUGACCAGUGUCGAUCGAUUAUUCUAUAGGAAUAUCGAUCGAUUAUUCUAUAGGAAUAUCGAUCGAUUAUUCUAUAGUAAUAUCGAUCGAUAUACUUGAUGAAACGUCGACCGAUUAUUCGAUUGAAAUAUCGAUUGACGCCUUGGUCAAGCGUUAAUGCGCGGAUUGAAUAUGCUCACUAAGCUUCCUAGAUCAGCUCUCGCCUACUCUAGCAAUCUUAGCUCAAUUAGGAUGGAUUCAGGGUGAGAUG
Molecule: long non-coding RNA, 410 nt
Filed under: Brassica napus (rape)
Lineage: Eukaryota; Viridiplantae; Streptophyta; Magnoliopsida; Brassicales; Brassicaceae
Description: long non-coding RNA (BNAP_LNC013956)
Source: RNAcentral